AAGCAAAAGUCGGCUACAAGCCUUCCUGACUCGGCUUGACCCAGCUUGAAACGGCUAGUGCUAAGUUAAGCUCCAAAUUAGACGUCUUCUGUAUAGCUUAUAUGUCUAGUCUUGAAGACUUCUGCUGUAAGACCUGGUGGAGACGUACAGGCUCUGGUACACGUUUUUAAAGUCAAUCUCCAAGUCUUGCAAGCAAAACUUGCGCACAUUUUUACUACCAGCUUGCAACGAUUCCUUCGACAGCACCAUCAGUGGAAUGAUUACAUCGUUAUGGUAUCGUCAUAUAACAGCUCUCCGCACAAAACAGUGUAUUACCAGCGUACUGCAAGGUUUAUGCUCGAGUCGAUUUCGCAUAGGCCGCUAGUUAGACGGUUACAGCGCGCGUACCAAGUAUCAGCCAUUGAGGAAGGUACCUUCCUCCAUGGCCAAUUCAAACCUACCGCGUCAGCUCAAACUGAAAGCCGCGCCAUAGUUUCGUGUGCCCGUGAUGGCAAUACAACAAAACCUUUCAAUAAAAUGUGUGCCGUUAUUACACAAUUCGUAAAAGCUUUAAUAAAACAUUUUGAACGAAGUUUCACAGGCUAGUAUAACAUGGUGCGGCACAACAGUUGGUGCGCUACUAUGGCUUGGCCGCUUCCAACGCUAGCUCCCGCGCCUGCCAUGCUGCCGUUGCCGUGCAUUGUCUCCGUUCGCGCUUGCAGUGUCGCGCAUGGCCGCGCGCCCGCACUUUGCAAAGGAUUCAACGGGUCGCUUUCGUGCGUACAUCGCAUUCUCUGUGUGUUCCUGCGUUGAUGGCUCAGCUUCGUUUUGGUGCUUUCAGACAUUCACGUACUAAUCACAGACAUGGGAAGACUAUAAGACGUCAAGAUGAAAGGCUCCUAGCAGCUCUCAGUGUUCCCAACGAAACUGGCAGAAUGGCAGUGGCUGAUUACAAGCUGCCUUUGGUGAACAAAAAAAACGUGACCACAUUAGAAUCCGAGCAGAGCUCCAAUCCUGCAUUCUGAUGACACCUUACACAACGGCUCUCUGUUAUGGGGGCUGGUACUUAAGAAGCUUUACUGCGGGCAUCCUACCCACUAUUUUCAGACUGUUUUGGUGGAAACUUAAGCUAGACUCUAGGCCAGCGGCGGAAAAAGAGCUUCAGGGACGUGCAUGUCUACAGUGUCAUGGAAGGUAAGAUUAGAGGGCUGCUGUUUGACUGGGCCUAGAGAUAAAGUGCAGUGACUCUUACUCACAAAAUACAUGCUAUUUUGAAUGAAAAAAAUAAAUAAAAACAUGAACACAUUUGAAAAAAAAAUAUCCAUCCAGUGUAGCUAAGUCGGGUGGACAUCUUUUUCUUUUAUAAGCCUUCCUCCCCCUUGCAGUUCCAUAGAACUGAUGUUCCACAAAUUUUAUUUACGAGUUGCAAAUCUGUUCGUAUGUAGCAAUGGUUCGGAUAUCAGCCACAACUGCUGAUACCGUGUACACGUGCUACUUGCACUGUUUGACUAGAUGGUUUGGUAUUCCAGAAGCUAUUCAUAGCAAUACCACGUGGGAAAAUGUGAUGACCGAUGCCAUUCGCCAAGCAGCAACUGCCUGGUUGAAGAAUUGCAGUUUGCGAGCGGAUAAAAAGCCAGCACGUUACGUUAAGCUUAGUGUUCAGGUAAUUUUAUAUAGAAAUUUAAGAUAUACUUACGUUUUUAACUGAGUCAGCAUCAUGUAGCAUGUUUACAUCUCAUUAAAAUCGACUGUUGGUUCUAGAUCAGAAGUGCAUGGUAUGGGAUUAACAUUUUGUCUUGGCGUUCUAAACUCUACUUAUAUCAGUCUGUUCUCAAUCGCCAGAUAACUUCCAACGACCAUCUAUGCAUGAUGUUGUGACAUCAUGCUUUACUGUGGCCAUAGGGAAACUUGUAUACAUUCUGAAGAAUUUUACUUUAGACAAUAAAUUCUGGGAACCCCAAGUAGAGUUGGCGUUCAGGGCCACUUGCUUACAUGAUGCAGUGUAAAAGAAAGAUAUAAAUAUUUACUUCCAGGCAGCAAAAGGACAUGGGAGAUGCUUUAGGUGAACGUGAAAAGGCAUUUUAAAUUAUAGAAUGAAUUAUACCUGUCUUCUGGCACUAUGCUUAUGCCUGCAGAUUUUAAGCAGUUUUUUAUGUGUUGUAUUUGUUUCUUUUAUGCCAUUGUUCAGUCUUGUGGGGACAGCCACUGAAAGGCCAGGCUUAAAACAAGUAUAACUAUGCAUCAUGAGUGCAUCAGUUCUAUAAUGUUUGAAAGUGGUGUGCGCAUUACAUGCCCUUAACAGUAGUCACCGAGAGAAAACAAAGUGUAUUCGCUAAUUUUUCUAAUAUGUAGAGAUUAUUUCUUAGUCAUGUUUAUGCUAAGCAUUUGGCUUUUACUGGCCUUACUAUAAGUGAGUCUGGUCUUUUUUCCCUUUUUUCGACUGGCGCAGAUGCAUCAAAGGAUACUG
Dermacentor silvarum is the source of this 2446-nucleotide long non-coding RNA. RefSeq lists it as uncharacterized. The transcript is spliced from 3 exons. The record is from RefSeq and is a predicted model, not a curated record. NCBI's taxonomy places the organism in Eukaryota, Metazoa, Arthropoda, Arachnida, Ixodida, Ixodidae.